GGACUACAAGGGUAUCUAAUCCUGUUUGCUCCCCACGCUUUCGCUCCUCAGCGUCAGUACCGGCCCAGAGUGCCGCCUUCGCCGCCGGUGUUCCUCCCGAUAUCUGCGCAUUUCACCGCUACACCGGGAAUUCCACACUCCCCUACCGGACUCGAGCUAAAGCAGUAUCGAGCGAAGGCUCCAGGUUGAGCCUGGAGAUUUCCCACCCGACUUGCUUAGCCGCCUACGAGCUCUUUACGCCCAAUAAUUCCGGACAACGCUCGCCCCCUACGUAUUACCGCGGCUGCUGGCAC
This 293-nucleotide ribosomal RNA is filed under the name uncultured bacterium. RNAcentral's name for it is "partial 16S ribosomal RNA". The record is from RNAcentral.